GCAAAGGGAUAAAUAAAUGACAGCCUUUGGAGUGGCGUCCCCUCGAAGAUGCUUAGCUUCCAGGGAGUAAACUGCACAUUGAAUUUAACAGGCUGCUUUUGGCAUGUAAAAGCAAAAGGGACAGCCUGAUCAUGCCACUUUUUCGACGUCAGAGUGAAAAAUGUCGUAAACGGCAGCAACGACAGGAAGUGCUGGCACAACAAGACCCAGAACCAAACUUUGAUCUGUCAGAAUGUGAAUUACAGGAGGUUCCUUCUGGCGUUUAUGCAAUCUGCAAGGUGCUCCAAAAAGAGGCUCUUUUUCUACACUGCAACUGGCUCAGCUCACUAAAUGGAGGUGGAAUUCUUUCAGACCUCUUCUUGUUAAGGAUAUUAAAUUUGGAAAAUAACAAGCUGAAGAAACUGCCUGAAAAUAUUGGGAAGCUUUCCAAUCUGCAAAAUCUUAAUGUGAAAGGCAACCACUCGAGAGAGUUACCCAGUGGAAUAUGUAAUCUGCCUGUACUGAGGCUUCUGGAUGUCUCUAAGAAUGAAAUAACAAGGCUUAAUCAACGCCUGGCUUAUGUUCGAACUCUUGAGACACUGCUACUAGAUGAGGACAAGAUGCAGUACCCUGCCAAAGAGAAUGAAUUGAACUACCAGCCUCCUUCAUUUUCUGCUCUGGAAGUCUUACCACCUCCAAGGGGUAUCAGAAGCUCACAGAGUGAAAAUUGCAUCAAAGCUUUGCCAGAUGAGGCCCACAUCAUGGAAAGUCUGCAGCAAUAUCAAAACUUCAUGAAACAGAAGCGAGUGGAAUCAUGUGUCUUAGAGCAACAACUGGCAAACGAGAAUCGUCUUCAUAGAGAGUUGGCAGCUGCAAACAAACAAAGUCUUGUGGAUGCAAUUUCUCAGGAUCAAGUACGUAUGGACAAAGAGUUGAACCAGUUGUCCCAGAAGAAAGAGGAGGAGCGUAAAAGAUUUUUUAGCGUUCUUAACAACGUUGAAAAGCAGGCAGAAGAUCUAACUGUCUUAACUGGCAGAUGUCAGUGAAAAGGCUCGCAAAACAGAGGCCCUUCUAGAUGAAGUAGAGAAAAAGCGCAUGCAGGAAGAUGACUGGUUUACAGUCACCUGGGAAGAACUGCACAACCUAUGCCGUCGUGAAGUGCUUGAUGGGAUGAAACAGAUUCUGAGUGAGUUUGAAAUAUUUGAGGACCAAAGGCGGCUUAUGGAGAGAGAGAGAGUCGGGGAGAACGAGCUUUACAAUUGGAGAAAGUUGCAGAAAAUGGGCAGGUAGAAAGCAUGUUAUACCACAGAGAGAUAGGACAGCGGACUGCUAUGCGUACUCUGGAAGAACAGGAGAAAUUGCAGAAGCAAGCAUUCCAAGCACUCCAGAUGGCCAGAGAUGCUAAGCAUUCCCGUAUUAGUAAUCAGAUAGUGCUCAUUGAAGCAGAACUUGCACAGCUUACAGUGGUGGAGAUUGACAGAAAGUCAAUGCGGUUGGAAACUGAAAAAGCUGCCUGUGUUUGCUGUGCAGGGUGACUCAUAUCAGAGAAUGAUAGGAUCUUGGAGGCUGAGGUCCCUGGUGGGUUACAGCCUAUCAUACCAACAUACCUCUUCAGCCUGGAUUUCUUAUAAGCAGAAAGUUGGUGUGCCCCUUAUUGGCUGGUCAUGACUGGUCAAUGCCCUAGUUUUGCUAGAAGGCUGCGAUCAGCGUCAAUCUGUCACAAUCUCUGAAGAAUCUUCUGGCAGAGAAGCGUAUUGCCUUGACAGCUAUGUUAUCCCAGCUUCUGAAAGAACAGUUCCUUCGAGAGCAUGAGUUGCAACAACGACUGUCAGAAAUGGAAGAGCAGCGAGAGAAUGGGCAGGCAGACUACUGGCUUGUGCAUACCAGCGUCUUCUAGAUCGAAA
RNA transcript from Pomacea canaliculata, 1883 nucleotides. It is a transcript of the gene named E3 ubiquitin-protein ligase LRSAM1-like, with no coding region annotated. The record is from RefSeq and is a predicted model, not a curated record. NCBI's taxonomy places the organism in Eukaryota, Metazoa, Mollusca, Gastropoda, Architaenioglossa, Ampullariidae. The transcript is spliced from 19 exons.